GAUUCAUGACAAAAUUGUGUUUUGGUGAGGGCGAUGUGUUUGUAGAUCUUACUUUACUGAACAUUCUUGCUGCUUACAAUUAUCUCUAUCUAUAAUGAUUGGCCCAGUAGUUUCAGUGGAAAAUGUUAGUAAAAUUUACAAAGUUUAUGAAAAUUGUUAAAAAUUGACUAUGAAGGACAAUAACUCCUUAGGGGGUCAAUUGACCAUUUCAAUCAUGUUCACUUAUUUGUAAAUCUUACUUUGCUGAACAUUAUUGCUGUUUACAGUUUAUCCCUAUCUAUAAUAAUAUUCAAGAUAAUAACCAAAAACAGC
Molecule: long non-coding RNA, 312 nt
Filed under: Mytilus galloprovincialis (Mediterranean mussel)
Lineage: Eukaryota; Metazoa; Mollusca; Bivalvia; Mytilida; Mytilidae
Source: RNAcentral